GCCAUUUUUAAAGUGGGGGAGAGUGUGACAGGUCAAUUGAGAACAUUGAUGUUUAUUGUUUGGUUAUCGGGAACCCCACAAACAAAUGUUUGUUGUACUUGUCAUUUUGAAAUUCUUUAGUUUAUAAUCUUUUUGAAUUCAUCUUCAAAGUUGCUCAUGUUAAUCAGUUGAUGUUGACAUGUUAUUAAUUAAAUGCGCUGCAUAAUCUACACCACUAGGUGGAGUCUGUGAGUGAGAAACAGUGACAUGCAGGAGUUCAGUUUGAGUUUGUGAUGCUCCGGAGUUAGCAAGAAAGCUGUAGUUAUUAUUCAGCAGCUGAAGAGACUUGUAGGCAGAGUGAAUGAAGGUACUGGGUCUUUGUUAAACGCUUAAAUAAAGUGAAGACAAGUGAAACGA
Molecule: long non-coding RNA, 396 nt
Organism: Labrus mixtus (cuckoo wrasse)
Lineage: Eukaryota; Metazoa; Chordata; Actinopteri; Labriformes; Labridae
Exons: 2
Source: RefSeq, a predicted model, not a curated record